CGCUGGCGGCGUGCCUAACACAUGCAAGUCGAGCGGAGUUAACAAGAGGAAGUUUCGGAUGGAAUUUGUUAAUUAGCGGCGGACGGGUGAGUAACGCGUGAGCGACCAACCUUGACACAGGGGGAUAACGGACCGAAAGGUUCACUAAUACCGCAUGAGACCACGGUGUUGCAUGACACAGAGGUCAAAGGAGCAAUCCGGUGCAAGACGGGCUCGCGUCCGAUUAGGUAGUUGGUGGGGUAAUGGCCCACCAAGCCUAUGAUCGGUAGCCGACCCGAGAGGGUGAUCGGCCACAUUGGAACUGAGAUACGGUCCAAACUCCUACGGGAGGCAGCAGUGGGGAAUAUUGGGCAAAAUGGGGGAAACCCUGACCCAGCAACGCCGCGUGAAGGAAGAAGGUUUUCGGAUUGUAAACUUCUGUCCUUGGUGAAGAGAAGAAGACGGUAGCCAAGGAGGAAGCCCCGGCUAACUACGUGCCAGCAGCCGC
Molecule: ribosomal RNA, 487 nt
Filed under: uncultured bacterium
Lineage: Bacteria
Description: bacterial SSU rRNA
Rfam family: Bacterial small subunit ribosomal RNA
Source: RNAcentral